UACGUAGGGUGCAAGCGUUAAUCGGAAUUACUGGGCGUAAAGCGUGCGCAGGCGGUGAUGUAAGACAGGUGUGAAAUCCCCGGGCUUAACCUGGGAACUGCAUUUGUGACUGCAUCGCUGGAGUGCGGCAGAGGGGGAUGGAAUUCCACGUGUAGCAGUGAAAUGCGUAGAGAUGUGGAGGAAUACCGAUGGCGAAGGCAGCCCCCUGGGAUAACACUGACGCUCAUGCACGAAAGCGUGGGGAGCAAACAGG
RNAcentral lists this ribosomal RNA (253 nucleotides) under uncultured bacterium. Its description in RNAcentral is "partial 16S ribosomal RNA". It matches the Rfam family "Bacterial small subunit ribosomal RNA", at positions 524 to 776 of the family's 1533-position model. The record is from RNAcentral.